GGCGUCGAGCGGCGGACGGGUGAGUAAUGCAUAGGAAUCUGCCCGAUAGUGGGGGAUAACCUGGGGAAACCCAGGCUAAUACCGCAUACGUCCUACGGGAGAAAGCAGGGGAUCUUCGGACCUUGCGCUAUCGGAUGAGCCUAUGUCGGAUUAGCUUGUUGGUGAGGUAAUGGCUCACCAAGGCGACGAUCCGUAGCUGGUCUGAGAGGAUGAUCAGCCACAUCGGGACUGAGACACGGCCCGAACUCCUACGGGAGGCAGCAGUGGGGAAUAUUGGACAAUGGGCGAAAGCCUGAUCCAGCCAUGCCGCGUGUGUGAAGAAGGCUUUCGGGUUGUAAAGCACUUUCAGUGAGGAAGAAAGCCUUGGGGCUAAUACCCCCAAGGGACGACAUCACUCACAGAAGAAGCACCGGCUAACUCCGUGCCAGCAGCCGCGGUAAUACGGAGGGUGCGAGCGUUAAUCGGAAUUACUGGGCGUAAAGCGCGCGUAGGCGGCGUGAUAAGCCGGUUGUGAAAGCCCCGGGCUCAACCUGGGAACGGCAUCCGGAACUGUCAGGCUAGAGUGCAGGAGAGGAAGGUAGAAUUCCCGGUGUAGCGGUGAAAUGCGUAGAGAUCGGGAGGAAUACCAGUGGCGAAGGCGGCCUUCUGGACUGACACUGACGCUGAGGUGCGAAAGCGUGGGUAGCAAACAGGAUUAGAUACCCUGGUAGUCCACGCCGUAAACGAUGUCGACUAGCCGUUGGGGUCCUAGAGACCUUUGUGGCGCAGUUAACGCGAUAAGUCGACCGCCUGGGGAGUACGGCCGCAAGGUUAAAACUCAAAUGAAUUGACGGGGGCCCGCACAAGCGGUGGAGCAUGUGGUUUAAUUCGAUGCAACGCGAAGAACCUUACCUACCCUUGACAUCGUGCGAACUUGGUAGAGAUACCUUGGUGCCUUCGGGAACGCACAGACAGGUGCUGCAUGGCUGUCGUCAGCUCGU
RNAcentral lists this ribosomal RNA (980 nucleotides) under Halomonas aestuarii. Its description in RNAcentral is "bacterial SSU rRNA". It matches the Rfam family "Bacterial small subunit ribosomal RNA", at positions 87 to 1063 of the family's 1533-position model. The record is from RNAcentral. Lineage: Bacteria; Pseudomonadati; Pseudomonadota; Gammaproteobacteria; Oceanospirillales; Halomonadaceae.